This 660-nucleotide long non-coding RNA is filed under the name Pan troglodytes (chimpanzee). RNAcentral describes it as "lncRNA (ENSPTRG00000053763.1)". The record is from RNAcentral. Lineage: Eukaryota; Metazoa; Chordata; Mammalia; Primates; Hominidae.
AUGAAAUGUACUGUGUAUUUUACUUUUAACAAACAGCUUAAAAUACUUCUAUUUUCUUCCCUUCUAAAGCCAAUGAAGGAGGUUGUGCGAUCUUGCACCCCCAUGAAAGAGUCUACAACUAUGGAGAUCUGGAUUCAUCCCCAACCACAGCGGAAAUCCGAAGGGAAAGUGGCAGGAAAGUCCCAGCGGCGUGUCACAUUUCACCUGCCAGAAGGCUCUCAGGAAAGCAGCAGUGAUGGUGGACUGGGAGACCAUGAUGCAGGCAGCCUUACCAGCACAUCCCAUGGCCUGCCCCUUGGCUAUCCUCAGGAGGAGUACUUUGAUCGUGCUACACCCAGCAAUCGCACUGAAGGGGAUGGCAACUCCGAUCCUGAAUCUAGUAAGUGAUACCUCUCUGGUUCCUCAAUAUAAACGGGCUUACUGUGUUUGCAACUCAAGCUAUCAUAGCCAUAAUAACAUGGGCUAAUUCAUUAUGUUAUUGUGAAUAGUGACACAUUUUUGAAAGGUAAACAUACAGAAUUAGAUGGAUGACAUGUAUAAGGCAGUUUAUAAUAUUUUAAAUGUAUGAUCAUAACUACUCUGAAUGAAAUUUAUUAUAGUGACUUUGUUAAGGCAUAGAUAGAAUUUUCCAUUUAUGUACACCUGUAUAUUUAUUUGUAU